GUUCAGACCCCUGCCAGCGCCGCUCGUCCAUCUGUGCGCCACUCGGGGCACGCCCACGGGCGCACACAUCCAGGAACGAGCCGCGCGCGUCCCCGCCCUGCAGCAGCUGCCAGCUGCAAUCAGUCACCUGCAAACUUCACACCUGAUGGUAAUGACGGAGCUGCCUUUAUAGACCUGGACAACCUGCCAUCACUGGCCGGAUUAUAGCCAUCUGUACCUGACUCUUCCCGUGUUUCUCCUGGAUCCCCUGUUGUUCCCCUUGCCCCCCGGACUGCCUUUUGGAUUCUCGACCUCCCGCUUGGACACGUUUUCCCACGGACUUCCGCGUUACUUCACUUCCGUCAACAUUUUGCUCUUCCCGUGUUUCUCCUGGAUCCCCUGUUGUUCCCCUUGCCCCCCGGACUGCCUUUUGGAUUCUCGACCUCCCGCUUGGACACGUUUUCCCACGGACUUCCGCGUUACUUCACUUCCGUCAACAUUUUGGUAAG
Molecule: long non-coding RNA, 488 nt
Organism: Nerophis ophidion (straightnose pipefish)
Lineage: Eukaryota; Metazoa; Chordata; Actinopteri; Syngnathiformes; Syngnathidae
Exons: 3
Source: RefSeq, a predicted model, not a curated record